Molecule: ribosomal RNA, 247 nt
Filed under: uncultured bacterium
Lineage: Bacteria
Description: partial 16S ribosomal RNA
Rfam family: Bacterial small subunit ribosomal RNA
Source: RNAcentral
ACACGUAGGAGGCAAACGUUAUCCGGAUUUACUGGGCGUAAAGCGCGUGUAGGUGGUUUGGUAAGUAGAGCGUGAAAGCUCCUGGCUCAACUGGGAGAGGUCGUUCUAAACUGCCGGACUAGAGGAUGGUAGAGGGAGGUGGAAUUCCGGGUGUAGCGGUGGAAUGCGCAGAUAUCCGGAGGAACACCAGUGGCGAAAGCGGCCUCCUGGCCCAUUUCCGACGCUCAGACGCGAAAGCUAGGGUAGC